RNAcentral lists this ribosomal RNA (403 nucleotides) under uncultured bacterium. RNAcentral's name for it is "bacterial SSU rRNA". It matches the Rfam family "Bacterial small subunit ribosomal RNA", at positions 355 to 774 of the family's 1533-position model. The record is from RNAcentral.
UAGGGGAUAUUGGUGAAUGGGCGAAAGCCUGAACCAGCAACGCCGCGUGUGCGAUGAAGGCCUUCGGGUUGUAAAGCACUUUUUGCCGGGAAGAGGAAGGACGGUACCGGUAGAAUAAGCCUCGGCUAACUACGUGCCAGCAGCCGCGGUAAAACGUAGGAGGCGAGCGUUAUCCGGAUUUACUGGGUGUAAAGCGCGUGCAGGCGGUUUGGUAAGUUGGGUGUGAAAGCUCCUGGCUCAACUGGGAGAGGUCGCUCAAGACUGCCAGACUGGAGCGUGGUAGGGGAAGGCGGAAUUCCGGGUGUAGUGGUGAAAUGCGUAGAUAUCCGGAGGAACACCAGUGGCGAAAGCGGCCUUCUGGACCAUGACUGACGCUCAGACGCGAAAGCUAGGGGAGCAAACG